Molecule: ribosomal RNA, 529 nt
Filed under: Crepidula plana
Lineage: Eukaryota; Metazoa; Mollusca; Gastropoda; Littorinimorpha; Calyptraeidae
Description: partial 16S ribosomal RNA
Rfam family: Bacterial large subunit ribosomal RNA
Source: RNAcentral
GGCUCUCUGAUUUAAUAAUAUAGAGAGUCCGGCCUGCCCAGUGAUUUUUUUCAACGGCCGCAGUAUCUUAACUGUGCUAAGGUAGCAUAAUAAUUUGUCCUAUAAUUGAGGACUGGAAUGAAUGGUCUCACAAGAGCAAAGCUGUCUCUUUCUAAUUAAAUAGAAUUUUACUUUCAGAUGAAGAGGUCUGAAUUUAAUUAAAAGACAAGAAGACCCUAUCGAGCUUUAAAAAAAUUAAUAAAAUUCACUUAUACUUGUAGAAAAAAAUUAUUAAAAAUUUUGGUUGGGGCGACUAAGGAACACAAAAAGCUUCUUUAAUUUACAAAAACUAACUUGUAUUGAUCCAUAAAUUAUGAUUAAUGAAAUUAGUUACCGUAGGGAUAACAGCAUUAUCUUUUUUGAGAGCUCUAAUCGAAAAAAAGGUUUGUGACCUCGAUGUUGGACCAGAAUAUCCUAAAGGUGCAGAAGUCUUUAAGGGUUGGUCUGUUCGACCAUUAAAAUUCUACGUGAUCUGAGUUCAAACCGGAGA